This 406-nucleotide unclassified non-coding RNA is filed under the name soil metagenome. RNAcentral describes it as "partial contains 5.8S ribosomal RNA, internal transcribed spacer 2, and large subunit ribosomal RNA". The stretch from base 1 to 121 matches the Rfam family "5.8S ribosomal RNA", at positions 35 to 154 of the family's 154-position model. The record is from RNAcentral.
GAUGAAGAACUUAGCGAAAUGCGAUAAGUAAUGUGAAUUGCAGAAUUCAGUGAAUCAUCGAAUCUUUGAACGCACCUUGCGCCCUUUGGCCAUUCCGAAGGGCAUGCCUGUUUGAGUAUCAUGAACACCUCAACUCUUCAUGGUUUUCCAUGAUGAGCUUGGACUUUGGGGGUCUUGCUGGCCUGUGGGUCGGCUCCUCUCAAAUGAAUCAGCUUGCCGGUUUUUGGUGGGCAUCACAGGUGUGAUAACUAUCUACGCUUGUGGUUUUCCACCAGGGUAACCUUCAGCAGUGGAGGUUCACUGGAGCUUACAAAUGUCUCUCCUCUGUGAGGACAGCCCUUUGAAUGUUUGAUCUCAAAUCAGGUAGGACUACCCGCUGAACUUAAGCAUAUCAAUAAGCGGAGGA